This 460-nucleotide ribosomal RNA is filed under the name uncultured bacterium. Its description in RNAcentral is "partial 16S ribosomal RNA". It matches the Rfam family "Bacterial small subunit ribosomal RNA", at positions 338 to 795 of the family's 1533-position model. The record is from RNAcentral.
CCUACGGGUGGCAGCAGUGAGGAAUAUUGGUCAAUGGACGAGAGUCUGAACCAGCCAAGUAGCGUGAAGGAUGACUGCCCUAUGGGUUGUAAACUUCUUUUAUAUGGGAAUAAAAUGUUCCACGUGUGGGCUUUUGUAUGUACCAUAUGAAUAAGGAUCGGCUAACUCCGUGCCAGCAGCCGCGGUAAUACGGAGGAUCCGAGCGUUAUCCGGAUUUAUUGGGGUUAAAGGGAGCGUAGGUGGAUUGUUAAGUCAGUUGUGAAAGUUUGCGGCUCAACCGUAAAAUUGCAGUUGAAACUGGCAGUCUUGAGUACACUAGAGGCGGGCGGAAUUCGUGGUGUAGCGGUGAAAUGCUUAGAUAUCACGAAGAACUCCGAUUGCGAAGGCAGCUUACUGGACUGCAACUGACACUGAGGCUCGAAAGUGUGGGUAUCAAACAGGAUUAGAUACCCUUGUAGUC